This 1131-nucleotide ribosomal RNA is filed under the name Triticum aestivum (bread wheat). RNAcentral's name for it is "partial small subunit ribosomal RNA". The record is from RNAcentral. Lineage: Eukaryota; Viridiplantae; Streptophyta; Magnoliopsida; Poales; Poaceae.
AUGGAGGAUCUUCCGGAGGUACUGCUGGCAGAAAUCGUCCAGAGGAUUACCAGGACAAGUGAUCUGAAUUCUCUUUCCCUUGUGUCAAAAAGUCUGUGCGAGGUUGAGGCGAAUCAAAGGGCCGCUAUCCGCUUAGGAUGCAGCUUGUUUUCUGCUACAGAAACCUUGUCAUCGCUUUGUUCCCGAUUCUCCAAUUUGUCAAAAAUGGAAAUCAAUUACACCGGUGAAACCUUGAGCUUCUUCUCAUACAUUGAUGAUUCUGGUCUUAGUUGUCUAGCCAAUUGUAAGAAGUUGAUGUCCCUCACACUAAACUCUGUACCAAGCAUAACUUCAAGGGGACUUCUCUCGGUGGCAAUUGGCUGCAACAGUUUAUCUGCUCUCCACCUUAUUGAUUGCAAGAAAAUAAGCAGCGGAGAGUGGCUAGAGUACCUUGGCUGGAAUGGAUCACUGGAAGAACUUGUGGUAAGGAAUUGCAACAGAAUCAGGCAGCCUGACCUACUAAAGUUUGGUCCAGGAUGGAUGAAGCUUUGGAAGUUUGAGUUUGAGAGCAAGGUAGAAAUAGAUGAUAUGCUUGGGUUUAAUGAUCCCUUAUAUGAUGUGCACAACCCGAGUGCAUGUGAUUUCCUCUGUGACAAUUUGAAGGAUUUGAGGUUGGUGCAUAUUCAAGCAAGGUCAGAGCUGAGACUUUGUCUUCUCUUGGAGAAAUGCAAAGCAUUGGAGAAGCUAUGCCUUAAGUAUGUUGUAAGUCUAACCGACAAUGACAUGAUUGCGCUAUCCCACAGCUGCAACAAUCUUAAAAGUAUUUCACUAUGGCUCAUGCCUCCUCAGUACGUUGCUGAUGACAAUGAUUUUCUUUACAUACCAUCGGUUACUGAUCACAGUCUUCAGGUUUUAGCUCUCGGUUGUCCUAUGCUUCAGAGCGUUGAACUUACAUUUCAUGAGGGCACAUUCUACUUGCCAGAUAUAGGCUUAACACUAGAGUGUGUUAGGAUUCUCAUUCAGUCUUGUCAGAUUCGUGUUCUUGUGCUUAAUGGAGCUGACUUCUUUGAUGAUGAAGGAAUGAUGGUACUUUCAUCCUCACCAUUCCUGGAGACACUCGAGCUUGCGGUGAACGAUCAGUCAGGUGACUGA